This 492-nucleotide ribosomal RNA is filed under the name uncultured bacterium. Its description in RNAcentral is "partial 16S ribosomal RNA". It matches the Rfam family "Bacterial small subunit ribosomal RNA", at positions 29 to 507 of the family's 1533-position model. The record is from RNAcentral.
AGUGAACGCUGGCGGUAGGCCUAACACAUGCAAGUCGAACGGCAGCACAGUAAUAGCUUGCUCUUACGGGUGGCGAGUGGCGGACGGGUGAGGAAUACAUCGGAAUCUACUUUUUCGUGGGGGAUAACGUAGGGAAACUUACGCUAAUACCGCAUACGACCUACGGUUGAAAGCAGUGGAUCUUCUGACCUUGCGCGAUUGAAUGAGCCGAUGUCGGAUUAGCUAGUUGGCGGGGUAAAGGCCCACCAAGGCGACGAUCCGUAGCUGGUCUGAGAGGAUGAUCAGCCACACUGGAACUGAGACACGGUCCAGACUACUAAGGGAGGCAGCAGUGGGGAAUAUUGGACAAUGGGCGCAAGCCUGAUCCAGCCAUACCGCGUGGGUGAAGAAGGCCUUCGGGUUGUAAAGCCCUUUUGUUGGGAAAGAAAAGCAGCAGGUUAAUACCACGCUGUUCUGACGGUACCCAAAGAAUAAGCACCGGCUAACUUCGUG